Prunus avium (sweet cherry) is the source of this 2989-nucleotide RNA transcript. It is a transcript of the gene named P-loop containing nucleoside triphosphate hydrolases superfamily protein, with no coding region annotated. The record is from RefSeq and is a predicted model, not a curated record. Lineage: Eukaryota; Viridiplantae; Streptophyta; Magnoliopsida; Rosales; Rosaceae.
CCGUCAAAACAACAACCCAUAAAUAGAUGAGAUGGGAGUACUUCCAUCCUCCCAGACCGCGUUUUUUCCAUACUUAAAACAAAAACUAGAUCUCCGGCAAAACAAAAAAACACCACUGCAAACGCAAACCGAAACUCAAAUCUAAUCAAAUUCCAAUUUGAUCCCUUUUUAGGGUUUUCUUUUUCUUCUUCGUUUGGUUUUCUUCUUCGAAACCCUAACAGAUCGCAAACCCUAGAACAGUAGCAGAACCAUUGUAAUUCCAUCAUUGAUGUACGCCUACGACAACAGAUACACCGACGUCAACUCCUACCGUGAGCGCCGAAGUGACCUAAUGGGUCCAGCGCCUGCGGUGGCUCCGCCAGCGGGCCCCGCCUAUGGCCGCGGCGGUGGGGCAGCCCCGUAUGCGGGCCCAACGCCUCCGGUCGCCCCGUAUUCGGGACAAGUAGCUGGACCGGUAACCGGUCCAGGAGAUUUUAAUGGGUACCCGCCGUUCCAGCCCCCUUCGGGUCGGUUCAAUAUUGGGCGAGGUGGUGGUAAUGGGAGUUUUGGUGGCAGAGCCUCCAAUGGUCAUAUUGGUGGUGGAAGGGGCCGUGGCGGUGGUAGGGAUUUUGAUCGAGGCCGUGGCGGUGGCGGUGGCGGUAGGAGCUCUGGUUUUAGCCGCGGUGGAAGUGCGGGUUUUAGCGGUGGGCGUGGAUUUGGUGGAAGAGGAGGAGGUAGACAUGGUGGGUCAUCAAGAGGAGACUUGGAUAACAUUGUGCUUCCCAAGCAAGAUUUUGGGAGAUUGGUACCUUUUGAGAAGAAUUUCUAUGUUGAGAGCUCUUCGGUGAGGGCAAUGUCAGAGCAGGAGGUUAUGGUGUAUCGCAACAGGCGGGAGAUUACUGUCGAAGGGCAUGAUAUCCCAAAGCCGAUUCAGAUGUUUGAGGAUGCGAAUUUCCCUGAUUACUGCCUUGAUGCUAUUGCAAAAUUGGGUUUUGUUGAACCAACACCAAUUCAGGCCCAAGGAUGGCCAAUGGCAUUAAAGGGUAGAGAUUUAGUUGGAAUUGCCGAGACUGGUUCUGGUAAGACUUUGUCCUAUCUGCUGCCAGCUUUGGUGCAUAUUAGCGCACAGCCUCGGUUAGUGCCAGGUGAAGGUCCUAUUGUGCUAGUAUUAGCACCUACUCGAGAAUUGGCAGUUCAAAUUCAAGAAGAAUCUUCAAAAUUUGGCUCACGUUCUAAUAUUAGGAGUACUUGCAUUUAUGGUGGUGCUCCAAAAGGACCCCAGAUACGGGAUCUUAAAAGAGGGGUUGAGAUUGUCAUAGCUACACCUGGCCGACUGAUAGAUAUGUUGGAAGCACAGCACACAAAUUUGCGAAGAGUGACCUACCUAGUUUUGGAUGAGGCUGACAGGAUGUUGGACAUGGGAUUUGAGCCUCAGAUAAGGAAAAUUGUAUCACAAACCCGACCAGAUCGGCAGACAUUGUAUUGGAGUGCCACGUGGCCAAGGGAGGUUGAAACUUUAGCAAGGCAGUUUUUACGUAACCCAUAUAAGGUAAUCAUUGGAUCAGCAAGUCUUAAAGCAAAUCAAUCUAUAAAACAAGUUAUUGAAGUUGUGUCAGAUGGGGAGAAAUAUAAUAGGCUGAUCAAACUGCUCAAAGAAGCAAUCGUUGGGAGCCGAAUUCUGAUAUUUGUCGAGACGAAAAAAGGAUGUGACCAAGUUACUAAGCAAUUGAGGAUGGAUGGAUGGCCAGCUCUAUCCAUUCACGGUGAUAAAAACCAGGCCGAAAGGGACUGGGUCUUGGCUGAGUUUAAAAGUGGAAGGAAUCCUAUAAUGACUGCCACUGAUGUGGCUGCGCGGGGUCUUGGUAGGAUAACUGUGUGCUAGGAUUCUUAGGUGUCAUAUAAAUUUAGGUCUUGAAUUUCAAAGAUGGCGAGUCGGCCGGCUGCUGUCCAGUUCCUGAGAAUAUAAUUUGUGGUUUGGGUAUGAAGGCAGGUGCCAUCAUUUGUGAUGAUUGGGACUGUUUAUCUUUUCCUAUCCUUCUCUAAGCAUCAUACUUUCUGCUUCACCAAGGGAAGUUGGAUUGAGGGGCAAUAUUGGUAUCUCCUACUUGUACAAUGUCCCCUGUGAUAGAAAACUCUUUGGAUACUACCUUAUUCUGAAAGCUCAUGUUACAUGGACACCAGGAGCUAGGUUUCACUGGAAUGGCUCGGGUAACUUCCUAAUAUUGUUUGGGUGGUAUGCCAUAUUAUUGUAUGCAAGCCAUUCUGUUUUUAUUGGUCCGGAAAGUCGUGCAUAUUGUUUUGUAUACAUGGGGCAGUUGAUAUUCGUAUGGCUAUCUCUAAAAGGAUAGUUGUCAAUUGUUUGCACUAGAGGUUCCUAAAAUGGCUUGGCUCCUCCUUUCAAGUGUCUAAGUAACAUGGUUGAAGUUUAUUGGCCCCCAUCCACAGUUAUGGAGCUGGUUAUCCUCGCAGCCCGGUUGACUCACACAUGCUUGUUCAUUUGAUUGGAUAUGGGAAGUGAUGGUAGUGAAGCUGCUCCUUAUCCCUGCUAGGUUAAGAUGUGAAGGACAUAAAAUGUGUGAUCAAUUAUGAUUUUCCAUCAAGCCUAGAGGAUUAUGUCCACAGAAUUGGACGAACUGGUCGUGCAGGGGCAACAGGAACUGCUUUAACCUUUUUCACACACGCAAAUGCGAAAUUUGCUAGGGAACUAAUCAAGAUCCUGCAAGAAGCAGGUCAGGUGGUGAGCCCCGCAUUGGCUGCAAUGUCCCGGUCAAGUGGUAGUUUCGGAGGCUCUGGAGGGAACUUCCGGAAUAGAGGGCGAGGAGGAGGAUUUGGGAACCGGAUUUCGGGUUCAAAUACUGUUCCUAUUGGUUACAAGAGACCUUGGUAGAGUCUCUGUAUUGCAGCUCAGCUGGCUAACGUAUUUACUUCGGUUUGAAACAAGAAAGACAAGAGUGUAUUGGAAACAUGCUAUUUUUAGAGUUAUCCUAAUGAUAUGAUUUAAUUUUAUACA